UUGGAGAGGUUUGAUCCUGGCUCAGGAUGAACGCUGGCGGCGUGCCUAAUACAUGCAAGUCGAGCGAACAGAUAAGGAGCUUGCUCCUUUGACGUUAGCGGCGGACGGGUGAGUAACACGUGGAUAACCUACCUAUAAGACUGGGAUAACUUCGGGAAACCGGAGCUAAUACCGGAUAACAUAUUGAACCGCAUGGUUCAAUAGUGAAAGGCGGCUUUGCUGUCACUUAUAGAUGGAUCCGCGCCGUAUUAGCUAGUUGGUAAGGUAACGGCUUACCAAGGCAACGAUACGUAGCCGACCUGAGAGGGUGAUCGGCCACACUGGAACUGAGACACGGUCCAGACUCCUACGGGAGGCAGCAGUAGGGAAUCUUCCGCAAUGGGCGAAAGCCUGACGGAGCAACGCCGCGUGAGUGAUGAAGGUCUUCGGAUCGUAAAACUCUGUUAUCAGGGAAGAACAAAUGUGUAAGUAACUGUGCACAUCUUGACGGUACCUGAUCAGAAAGCCACGGCUAACUACGU
This 521-nucleotide ribosomal RNA is filed under the name Staphylococcus sp. RNAcentral's name for it is "bacterial SSU rRNA". It matches the Rfam family "Bacterial small subunit ribosomal RNA", at positions 1 to 506 of the family's 1533-position model. Lineage: Bacteria; Bacillati; Bacillota; Bacilli; Caryophanales; Staphylococcaceae. The record is from RNAcentral.